UUGGGCGUUAAUGGCCUCAGGCACACCAAGGUUAACCCUGGGUCACACAGUUGGUGUCCUAAGGAGGAACAGAACCCAGACCUUCAAGACUCUAAACCCAACACUAACUCCUAACAUAAGGAUAUCUCAAAAAAAAAAACCCUGAAAUACUGUUAAUUAUUUAAUAGGUGUAUACAGGGGGACAAAACACUUUCCCAGUGAGCACCCACAUUUUCAUAACUUUAUUAAACCCUUGUUAUAGUUUCCCUCUACAUGAGAACUUUUAGGACAAAAGUAACAGACCUCAAUAAUAUGCAACCAGGAAGUUGAAUCCUUUGUGCCUUUCUUCAUUAUCCUGUUCCUUCUUAGUGUAGUAAUCUCACAGGAUAAGGUUAGAUGCUGACACAGAUUUAAAUUCCUGCAGAUAAAUAAGGAGGGAACCAGAUGAAAAAGGGAUGAUUGUGAUCAAACCCAAAUGGAAGAAUGUUCAGAAAGAGGAGCUUCCUCAUACUCCACUCCAAACACAUGAAGAAGAAAAAAGCUUUAUCAGCUAAGAAUGUCAUCAGAGAUGGAUAAAGAUGAGAGAAUAAAACUAGCUGUUGGGAUAAAAAGUGUGUGGUUUUACUAUACCCAGUGACUACAACAAUAUAAACACAUAAAGAACAAUGACAAAAAUUACUCUGAACUUGUUGCAAUUUUAAGGGUCAACCUUUGUUCCAGAGAAGAAAUAAGAAAAUGAGUCUUCCUCCUUAUGUUACAAAUAGCUGGAAAAUUACCAAUGGGGAACAUGCCAUAAACUGUCAGUUUUUAUGUUUGAUUUUGCUGAACUGUCUCCUCUCCCCCUCCCCCACUUUUUUUAUUUUUACUUUUAAAAUUUUUUGUUAAAAGUAGUGUGACUCGCAGGAGAAGGGGAAAGGCUAUAAUAGGGGAUGCCUAUAUGUGCAUAUAUACGUAUCUGUAGAAAUUACAUCAUAUAUAAUAUAUUUAGAAAAUAUAUGUGUGUGUGUGUGUGUUGUAUAUGUGUGUGUAUGUGUAUGUAUAAGCAAAACUCAAUUUUCCAUCAGCAAUUCUGCUUGCUUUUGACUCCAGGGAACAGGGAGCCUCACCUAGGAUAUGAUAAUCACUUCAAAUCUCAUCACCAUGUUGAUUGACUCAGUUUCCAAUACUCAAAACUUUCUCAACUUCCUCAAUUGUCUCUUCCAAAGACUGGAGGGCUUGACAUCAGUAAACACAGCCAUGUGGUUUGGAAUGAGUGGCAGCAGGGGGAAGAAAGGAAAGAGGGACCAGAUGUCAGAACCAGGCAUACAGCAGAAAAAAGGAGGAAAGACUCCCAAAACGAGUUCAUGCCCAGAAAAAAGAAGAAGGUGAUUAGGAAUACAAAUGCCUUUGGUUGCAUUUCUCUUCAACCAUGUCAGCAAUGGCGAACAUUGUCAGAGGUAGCAGAGGCAUGUCAUUGCCACACAGAGCAAGCAUCUAGAAAGCCGUGGGACUUGCCACAGAGUAAAAUGGCGCCCUUAAAGAUUCUGCCCCUGUUAUUCUGCCCUCGCUGCUGUGUGAAUCUCAAAUGAAUGGGCCUUCAUUGCUUCCAUGAAAGACUUUGACUGACCAUAAAAUUCAGCACACUUUCCCUAUUUUUUUGCAUCAUCUUCACGCCAUUGUUACUCAAAAUAAUGUGUUCUUUUGCUGUUGAUAAAUAGCUGUAAAUCCCCAUUAGACUGGGCUGCAUUUAUAUUUGACAGGUUUCUUUUUCUCUGGAUUUUAUUGAUAGUUUUGGAAGAUCUGCCUCACCUUAGUUUGCCUCUUGUCCUCAUAAAGA
Monodelphis domestica (gray short-tailed opossum) is the source of this 1795-nucleotide long non-coding RNA. RefSeq lists it as uncharacterized. Lineage: Eukaryota; Metazoa; Chordata; Mammalia; Didelphimorphia; Didelphidae. The record is from RefSeq and is a predicted model, not a curated record.